RNAcentral lists this ribosomal RNA (392 nucleotides) under uncultured bacterium. RNAcentral's name for it is "partial 16S ribosomal RNA". It matches the Rfam family "Bacterial small subunit ribosomal RNA", at positions 523 to 918 of the family's 1533-position model. The record is from RNAcentral.
AUACGGAGGAUCCGCGCGUUAUCCGGAUUUAUUGGGUUUAAAGGGUGCGCAGGCGGCCAUUUAAGUCAGCGGUUAAAUCGUGGGGCUCAACCCCAUUCUGCCGUUGAUACUGGGUGGCUUGAUUGCGGUCGAGGUUGGCGGAAUUCGUUGUGUAGCGGUGAAAUGCAUAGAUAUGACGAAGAACACCGAUUGCGUAGGCAGCUGACCAGACCGCAAAUGACGCUCAUGCACGAAAGUGCGGGGAUCGAACAGGAUUAGAUACCCUGGUAGUCCGCACAGUAAACGAUGAAUACUUGUUUUCGGCGAUAUAAUGUCGGAGGCAAAGCGAAAGCGAUAAGUAUUCCACCUGGGGAGUACGCCGGCAACGGUGAAACUCAAAUGAAUUGACGGGG